UUGGAGGGCAAGUCUGGUGCCAGCAGCCGCGGUAAUUCCAGCUCCAAUAGCGUAUAUUAAAGUUGUUGCAGUUAAAAAGCUCGUAGUUGAAUUUCGGGAUCAAAUAAUCGGUCGUGCCUCCGGUACGUACUGGUUUUAUUGGUUCCUCCCUUCUGACGAACCAUGAUGUCAUUAAUUUGAUGUGGUGGAGAAUCAGGACUGUUACCUUGAAAAAAUUAGAGUGUUUAAAGCAGGCUAACGCUUGAAUACAUUAGCAUGGAAUAAUGAAAUAGGACGUUCGACCCUAUUUUGUUGGUUUCUAGGAUCGACGUAAUGAUUAAUAGGGAUAGUUGGGGGCAUUAGUAUUCAAUUGUCAGAGGUGAAAUUCUUGGAUCUAUUGAAGACUAACUACUGCGAAAGCAUUUGCCAAGGAUGUUUUCAUUAAUCAAGAACGAAAGUUAGGGGAUCGAAGACGAUCAGAUACCGUCGUAGUCUUAACCAUAAACUAUGCCGACUAGGGAUCGGAUGAUGUUAAUUUUUUAAUGACUCAUUCGGCGCCUUACGGGAAAC
RNAcentral lists this ribosomal RNA (549 nucleotides) under uncultured Glomus. RNAcentral's name for it is "SSU rRNA". It matches the Rfam family "Eukaryotic small subunit ribosomal RNA", at positions 548 to 1098 of the family's 1831-position model. Lineage: Eukaryota; Fungi; Glomeromycota; Glomeromycetes; Glomerales; Glomeraceae. The record is from RNAcentral.